RNAcentral lists this ribosomal RNA (419 nucleotides) under bacterium. RNAcentral's name for it is "partial 16S ribosomal RNA". It matches the Rfam family "Bacterial small subunit ribosomal RNA", at positions 356 to 776 of the family's 1533-position model. The record is from RNAcentral.
UGGGGAUAUUGCACAAUGGGCGAAAGCCUGAUGCAGCGACGCCGCGUGGGGGAUGAAGGCUUUCGGGUUGUAAACCUCUUUCGCUAUCGAACAAGGCCCGCUUAGGGUGGGUUGAGGGUAGGUGGAGAAGAAGCGCCGGCUAACUACGUGCCAGCAGCCGCGGUAAUACGUAGGGCGCGAGCGUUGUCCGGAAUUAUUGGGCGUAAAGGGCUUGUAGGCGGCUUGUUGCGCCUGCUGUGAAAACGCGGGGCUUAACUUCGCGCGUGCAGUGGGUACGGGCAGGCUUGAGUGUGGUAGGGGUGACUGGAAUUCCAGGUGUAGCGGUGGAAUGCGCAGAUAUCUGGAGGAACACCGAUGGCGAAGGCAGGUCACUGGGCCAUUACUGACGCUGAGGAGCGAAAGCAUGGGUAGCGAACAGG